Phalacrocorax carbo (great cormorant) is the source of this 2622-nucleotide non-coding RNA. The record is from RefSeq and is a predicted model, not a curated record. Lineage: Eukaryota; Metazoa; Chordata; Aves; Suliformes; Phalacrocoracidae.
CGAGAAUGAGGGCCAGGAGCCAAACAGGCUAUUAUUUAUUACAAUCUGUAGUGGGAGUGAUGGCAGCUGUUGAUGGUAGUUUUUCAUUAACAGUUAAGUAAAGCCAAUAAAUGUUGUAAUGCACUGCGCAAUGGCAGAUGGUGAGCAACAGAACGAGUUUCUACCUCAACCAGUGCUCCAUUUUCAUCUCCACUUUGAAAUACCAUCUAAAUAGAAAAGAGUUUUAAAAGAGACCACCUGUUCAGCUACGUUAUUCCCACAUAACUUUUAUGCGUCUGGAAGUGUAUCCAAAUACAAACUGCUAGGAUAAAACAGGCUGCUUGCGACCAAAAGGAGGAGAAAAAAACCCUUUCCGCUGACAAUUUGGCUCCCACCUACAAUGCAGUUUCUAGCCUAUCUUAUGCUCUUCUUCUUCGCAGAACUGAGUGGUUGCCUAGGCCUGGAAUAAAUCAGCAGCCCAUGCUGAACCUCAAACUUCUACAGCUUUCUUUUCCAGAAACUGUACCAUAGGUUGGGGCAGAAAUGCUCUUUCCACACUGUUCCUUAUGUCCCACUUGGCAUUUUGCUUGAGAACUUACUCAUGUUCCCGGUGAGUUAGCUUUACGCUCAGAUUUUAUCAUAGGCAAAAGGUGGCCUCAGGCAGAGAAGCCUAUGCCUGGCUGAAGUGGAAUGAUCUAAAGGAGAAAAGCAAUAUUUGGUUCUUGAAUUUCAGCAAUAUCAGUCUCUAGGAAAACUUCUCUUUUUCCACCAGCAUCCGUUUCUACAAGAUCUAUGAUUACUGGCAGAACGUUCUUGCGGGUACCAGCAACUGCAUGACUUUGGAUACUCAUGCUGAUUAUAGCACAGGAUCUGGAGAGAUGUUGUGAGCCUGUGGAAGCCCUUGUGAGCACUGCUUGGACCUGCACAAUCUACAGAGGACACAUUGAUCCCAUUGUGACUCCUUAGGUACAGAUCGUAAAUGUCUGAGGAAAACAUGCAGAGCCAACACCUUAUUUUUGCAAGACGCUGAGGUCUGUUACGAAGUGAAGGGACAUCAGUGUCACAGAACUGUUAUUAUUGCUCCCAGCUGAUGAAAUCCUCUUUAUCACCAGCAUUCUUUACACACUUAUUUUCACAAAAAAAAGAACGUAAACUGUACUUAUUCGUUGUUUUCUACGAGGAAAGUCAAUGAGAAAACAGAAGAGUUUCCUGUGGGGGAGACUGCAAUGAAUAUUUUUUCUCCCAAGUGGCUGCAGCGACCAUGAGAGCAGAAUGGUGCCUGCCUUUGCAUGUAAUUACAAACAAAAUGCCUGCAGUCUCGUAUCAAAAGGCACCUCACACAGAUGCUUAGAACAUCUCUUUUGGGAGCUACCUAUGCUGCAUGGGCAAAUGGUUAUGAGCAUCUGCACUCAGGAGACCUGUAACCGCAGCCCGGGACACUGCGGGGGUGGUUCUGGUCCGCAGCACUCUGACCUAGGCUGGAGAUCAGCCCCAGGCUGCAGCAGGAGGCCCCUGCCUUUGAGUCAGGUCUAGACUUGUCGCUGUUUUAAAAUUUAAGAAACGCUGACAGUUCUAUCAAUUUCCCAUAGAAUUACAUGUUCACUUCCUAUCUAAAAAUCUCCUUGCGACUGGCAUCGGUGGAAUGGAUCUUAAGGAAUGAUUACCGGCCUCUGAGGCGGCAUUGCUUCCUUCUCCUGUGGAGCUCGUGGUCUCCUCCCCACUGGGAACUUCUCAGUUAAAUCUGGAAAUCAGCACCAGAACCCCUGGUCUGUGCUGGGACGCUCAGCGGGUUUAGGAGCCCUCCCCAGCCUCCAGCCCGGCAGGAGCAGCCCACCUCCGGGCAGGCGGGUGAAGCCGGUGGGUGCGAAGGUCUCUCCUGACGGUGUGGAAGGAGACGUGCUGCUCCGAGCCCCAGGCAGAGCUCUCGCCUUUACAAAGUGCCCCGGCGCAAUUCCUCUUCGGUGGCUUUUGACCGGGCUUGGCGUGAUGGGGGGAAGGGGAAGGGGCUGUCUUGCUUUUUGUUUCCUCAGCUGGGACUUCCAGCGUGUCGUUUUCUUCUGUACGUCUUAACUCUCCAAUCAGGGGCAAUUAUGAUAGCUCAAUAUGUAAAUAUUAAAGACAAUUGCAGAGCUUUAAUUAAAGCCAACUUUGUUUCUUUUCCCCCUCACCCACACACUCCUCUCGAUUUAGUCAGGAACACAAUAAACUUAAUCAGCUGCCCCAAAUUAUGCAUGCAUUAGCCCGUGAGAUUCAGCAAGGCCAGGCUUCUCAAGGACAAAGGAAUACACUGAGCUCCAGCAUCUCACUUUGUUUUCUCCAGCCAUCUUUUGUGGUGUGUCAUGGGAAAAAUUCUAAUGAGUCUCUCCGUGCUGCUGGAGAAAUUCCUGUCGGGCUCAAGCCAGUCGCUGCCUCUGCUCUUUAUUUUCCAGAUAGGAAUUUUCUGUUGGCACUGUCCUCUUGCGAAGAAGGAAAGUUGCGUCAGGAUAGACUGGACUGGCACUAGCAGAUCAUAAUCUAUAACAGUUUUGCUUUUCUGGAGUUGAUUUUCCUCCCUUCUCACACAAUUUUAAGGUUUUUUUUGGCACUGCGGCGCACUGAUGAACACAUGUUGGUUUGCAUCUAUAAAAUCGUGCAUGGAUUUGA